GAUGAACGCUGGCGGCGUGCCUAAUACAUGCAAGUCGAGCGAACGGACGAGAAGCUUGCUUCUUUGAUGUUAGCGGCGGACGGGUGUGUAACACGUGUAUAACCUACCUAUAAGACUGGGAUCACUUCGGGAAACCGGAUCUAAUACCGGAUGAUAUUUUGAACCGCAUGGUUCAAAAGUGAAAGACGGUCUUGCUGUCACUUAUAGAUGGAUCCGCGCUGCAUUAGCUAGUUGGUAAGGUAACGGCUUACCAAGGCAACGAUGCAUAGCCGACCUGAGAGGGUGAUAGGCCGCACGGGAACUGAGACACGGUCAAGACUCCUACGGGAGGCAGCAGUAGGGAAUCUUACGCAAUGGGCGAGAGCAUGACGGAGCGACGCCGCGUGAGUGAUGGAGGUCUUCGGAUCGUGAAACUCUGUUAUUGGGGAAGAACAUAUGUGUAAGUAGAUGUGCACAUCUUGACGGUACCUAAUCAAAAAGCAACGGCUAACUACGUG
This 497-nucleotide ribosomal RNA is filed under the name uncultured bacterium. RNAcentral's name for it is "partial 16S ribosomal RNA". It matches the Rfam family "Bacterial small subunit ribosomal RNA", at positions 28 to 507 of the family's 1533-position model. The record is from RNAcentral.